RNAcentral lists this ribosomal RNA (301 nucleotides) under uncultured bacterium. RNAcentral describes it as "partial 16S ribosomal RNA". It matches the Rfam family "Bacterial small subunit ribosomal RNA", at positions 509 to 808 of the family's 1533-position model. The record is from RNAcentral.
CAGCAGCCGCGGGAAUACGGAGGGGCUAGCGUUGUUCGGAAUUACUGGGCGUAAAGCGCACGUAGGCGGCUUGGUAAGUUAGAGGUGAAAGCCUGGAGCUCAACUCCAGAAUUGCCUUUAAGACUGCCGAGCUAGCAGGUGAGAGAGGUAAGUGGAAUUCCGAGUGUAGCGGUGAAAUGCGUAGAGAUCGGGAGGAACAUCAGUGGCGAAGGCGGCCAUCUGGGACAACACUGACGCUGAGGCACGAAAGCGUGGGGAGCAAACAGGAUUAGAUACCCCUGUAGUCCCUGUCUCUUAUACA